UACGGAGGGUGCGAGCGUUGUUCGGAAUUAUUGGGCGUAAAGCGGGUGCAGGCGGUAAAGUAUGUCUGAUGUGAAAGCCCGGGGCUUAACCCCGGAAGUGCAUUGGAAACUGCUUUACUUGAGUCUUGGAGAGGGUAGCGGAAUUCCUGGUGUAGAGGUGAAAUUCGUAGAUAUCAGGAGGAACACCGGUGGCGAAGGCGGCUACCUGGACAAUGACUGACGCUGAGACCCGAAAGCGUGGGGAGCAAACAGG
RNAcentral lists this unclassified non-coding RNA (253 nucleotides) under uncultured delta proteobacterium. RNAcentral's name for it is "contains 16S-23S intergenic spacer region". It matches the Rfam family "Bacterial small subunit ribosomal RNA", at positions 524 to 776 of the family's 1533-position model. The record is from RNAcentral. Lineage: Bacteria; Deltaproteobacteria.